This 266-nucleotide ribosomal RNA is filed under the name uncultured bacterium. RNAcentral describes it as "partial 16S ribosomal RNA". It matches the Rfam family "Bacterial small subunit ribosomal RNA", at positions 29 to 283 of the family's 1533-position model. The record is from RNAcentral.
AACGAACGCUGGCGGCGCGCUUAACACAUGCAAGUCGAACGAGAAGCUGUAGCAAUACAGUUGUAAAGUGGCAAACGGGUGAGUAAUGCGUGGGUAAUCUACCCUAGGGUGGGGAAUAACUCCUCGAAAGGGGAGCUAAUGCCGACAUGUGCGCCACUCUCGCAAGGGAGUGAUGGAAAGCCGUACCGUGGGUGCGGCGCCCAAGGAUGAGCUCACGUCCUAUCAGCUUGUUGGCGGGGUAACGGCCCACCAAGGCUGCGACGAGG